AUUGAACGCUGGCGGCAGGCCUAACACAUGCAAGUCGAACGAGUGGCGGACGGGUGAGUAAUGUCUGGGAAACUGCCUGAUGGAGGGGGAUAACUACUGGAAACGGUAGCUAAUACCGCAUACCAUCAGAUGUGCCCAGAUGGGAUGAGCUAGUAGGUGGGGUAACGGCUCACCUAGGCGACGAUCCCUAGCUGGUCUGAGAGGAUGACCAGCCAAACUGGAACUGAGAGACGGUGCAGACGCCUACGGGAGGAAGCAGUGGAGAAUAUGGCACAAUGGGCGAAAGCCUGAUACAGCCAUGCCGCGUGUAUGAAGAAGGCCUUCGGGUUGUAAAGUACUUUCAGCGGGGAGGCGUUACCCGCAGAAGAAGCACCGGCUAACUCCGUGCCAGCAGCCGCGGUAAUAC
This 406-nucleotide ribosomal RNA is filed under the name uncultured bacterium. Its description in RNAcentral is "partial 16S ribosomal RNA". It matches the Rfam family "Bacterial small subunit ribosomal RNA", at positions 29 to 526 of the family's 1533-position model. The record is from RNAcentral.